This 24-nucleotide non-coding RNA is filed under the name Cricetulus griseus (Chinese hamster). Lineage: Eukaryota; Metazoa; Chordata; Mammalia; Rodentia; Cricetidae. The record is from RNAcentral.
GCGAACUGUGUUAUGCUGAGGCUU